AUUGAACGCUGGCGGCAUGCCUAACACAUGCAAGUCGAACGGUAACAGGCUAAAGCAAUCCCUUCGGGGUGCGCUGUGCGCUGACGAGUGGCGGACGGGUGAGUAAUGCGUAGGAAUCUACCUUCAAGUGGGGGAUAGCCCGGAGAAAUCCGGAUUAAUACCGCAUGUUCUCUACGGAGAAAAGCGGGCCUCUGAUUCAAGCUCGCGCUUGGGGAUGAGCCUACGUCGGAUUAGCUAGUUGGUGGGGUAAAGGCCUACCAAGGCGACGAUCCGUAGCUGGUUUGAGAGGAUGACCAGCCACACUGGGACUGAGACACGGCCCAG
This 324-nucleotide ribosomal RNA is filed under the name uncultured bacterium. Its description in RNAcentral is "bacterial SSU rRNA". It matches the Rfam family "Bacterial small subunit ribosomal RNA", at positions 30 to 334 of the family's 1533-position model. The record is from RNAcentral.